CUACGGGCGGCAGCAGUGAGGAAUAUUGCACAAUGGGGGGAACCCUGAUGCAGCAACGCCGCGUGGAGGAUGACGCAUUUCGGUGUGUAAACUCCUUUUAUAUGUCAAGAAAAUGACGGUAGCAUAUGAAUAAGCACCGGCUAACUCCGUGCCAGCAGCCGCGGUAAUACGGAGGGUGCAAGCGUUACUCGGAAUCACUGGGCGUAAAGGACGCGUAGGCGGGUUGGAAAGUCAGGGGUGAAAUCCUACAGCUUAACUGUGGAACUGCACUUGAAACUUCUAAGCUAGAGUAUGGGAGGGGGAGAUGGAAUUAGUGGUGUAGGGGUAAAAUCCGUAGAUAUCACUAGGAAUACCUAAAGCGAAGGCGAUCUCCUGGAACAUUACUGACGCUAAGGCGUGAAAGCGUGGGGAGCAAACAGGAUUAGAUACCCCUGUAGUC
This 439-nucleotide ribosomal RNA is filed under the name uncultured bacterium. RNAcentral's name for it is "partial 16S ribosomal RNA". It matches the Rfam family "Bacterial small subunit ribosomal RNA", at positions 339 to 795 of the family's 1533-position model. The record is from RNAcentral.